RNAcentral lists this ribosomal RNA (253 nucleotides) under uncultured bacterium. Its description in RNAcentral is "partial 16S ribosomal RNA". It matches the Rfam family "Bacterial small subunit ribosomal RNA", at positions 524 to 776 of the family's 1533-position model. The record is from RNAcentral.
UACGUAGGUGGCGAGCGUUGUCCGGAAUUACUGGGUGUAAAGCGCGUGUAGGCGGCAGGCCAAGUCGGUGGUGAAAGCGCCCGGCUCAACUGGGCGAGGUCCAUGGAAACUGGUCAGCUGGAGGACGGUAGAGGCGAGUGGAAUUCCCGGUGUAGUGGUGAAAUGCGUAGAUAUCGAGAGGAACACCUGCGGCGAAGGCGGGUUGCUGGGCCGACACUGACGCUGAUGCGCGAAAGCCAGGGGAGCGAACGGG